UGUGCAGCCAAGUUUGCCAAUCGCCGGAGGGAAGGCAAAGUCACCUCUCCAUUGCCCCGUCGCUCCGUCACACCCGGUGCAAGGGAAAAGUAAAUGACUGGUUGGUUAUACUUGGUGAAAGGUGGCCAUGCAUUUAAAAAUCUUUCCGUCAAAGUGGCUACAGUGUAAACCUGCGGAGGUACUCGUGUGUGCACACAUCCCCGGGAGGGAUCCGCGUGCUGCCGGCAAACCCAUCCUGGUCCGCGCGAGGCUUCACCUACCCACUGUCCUUCCCAAUUCAAAUUUACCUGGACCAAUUCCAGGCCUUUGCGUUGGUCGGGAUGAUGGAGAAGUGACCUGGGGUCAAAAGAGGGCUGAACUCUUCCAGGAAUUCUGUAGCUGCUGGUCUGGACCAGGCAUUGGACGGGACGGAUGCUGAACUACGAGAUGGAGGGGAGGCCAAAGGACGGGGACGUUGUGAACGCCAGAACUUUUAUGUGUUGCGAGGGUUCAUUGUAUGCACCAACCUGACCCGGGCCAAGGGAUGCCCAGAGAGCUGGUAACACAUUUCUGGAUAUGCUGUGAGGGUGUGUGCAGAGGAAAUUAGCAUUUGCAUCAGUAGACUGAGUAAAGGACCCCUCAUCCAACCCACUGAGGGAUUAAGAACUUUAUUCACCUACUGUCAAGACUUGUAAAAGUGGUGAAAUGCCGUUUCAAAGUAGGCUGAAAAUAAACCGAGGAGGGAAAAGUACUAUUUCCUCCAAACUUUAUAUAGGUAUAAAGCAGAAAUAUUCAGAAGUUAGUGAGAAAGAGGAAGAGAGAGUGUGAAAAUGUGUGUGUCCAUGUGUAUGUUUGGGCAUUUACGUUUGAAUUAAAAUGGUGGAUCUGAAAAAGGCAAGAGUGUUGAAAAGUCAUUAGCAAGAGCAAACUGACCUUGAAACUGUAUAAUAUGAAAUAUUUGUGAUCCCCACAUUAACACCUUGUGCCUCUUCUAAGUAGUCUUGGGGCUUUAUCACCUAACCCCCAAUGCCCCCCGCCUUAAAGCCCUGCCUCUGAUUUUCAGUCACACUUAGGUUGUCAGUGACUGUGCAACCUAAGGAGUUACCCUUCUUUGGCGGUUGGCAUCACUAGGGACAGCAUCUUGAAGGCAGGUUGUAAGCACAGUUAUUAUGACUGAGGAAAGUACCAGAGUCAUUAAGAACUUAACUGUAAUUGCUCAAGUGACCUGCUCUCCUCAACAGGUAUAACGCAACAGGCACCUAGCGCUUAGAAACCCUCCAUGAAGAAGACAGGUUAUAUGUUGGUAACGACUGCAGUAUGUUCUCUUGAAAUCUUCUCAAUCUCCAACUUUUAAGUUUGGUUUUGAUUACUAAAAUUGGUCAAAAUUCAUUCAAAGUAAUGUCUAGUGUACGUGCAGAAAAAUGCCGAUUUUUAAAAAUGCAAUAAAUAGGGUAUUAAAACCAUGUAUUAUUGUUAAAUCUGAGCUGGUUUUUGUGCUUCAGCAACCUGCUCUUACAAGGAGGCGCUGGCCUCCCCACCCUGGACGUGAGGGAGGGGUCGGGUGCAGGCACUGGGACCACUGCCAUCUGUGCUCAGUGCUCACCCAGCGUCCUGCCAGUGUGACGUCCCACGUCUCUGGACAGAGGCUGCAGUGAGCACAGCUGAAGCCAAUGCUGCUUCUCCCACUGCCUCUAGAGUGCCUAACUUAACCACUGAGAGCUGCCGCAGCUUUUCCACCGACCGUUCCCACAGCCUAUUUGCUCCUGAGUCCUGCCUCAGGAAUCAAAUGAUGACUUCCCAUUGUGGACUCAAAGACCCUUUAUUAAUCUCCAGUCUACAGCUCCCUGCUCCAGGGAAGCAGGCUAACUGGUCAUUUCCAGUCCAAUAAUUCACUUUCUCUCUCCACAAUCCUCUAAACUUGUAGGCACAUUAGAAUCACGUAGGGGAAUUUAAAAAAAAAAAACAAACAUCCAGACCCCACCCCAGAUGAAGGAAAUCAUGCCGGGGUGGGCACUGGCACACCGUUUAUUCAGCUCCCUAGGUUAUUCCAAUAUACAGCCAAGAACAAAGCCAGGGAACGUCUUUCCCGUCUUCCUCACAUCCUGGUCUUAGCCCCUGAGGAAAUGAACACCUUACAUGGUCACUUACUGGCUAAUAAUAAAAUGACGGAUUUAAUUCUCUUGUUCAUUGUUUUUAUCCUGUUUACUCACUGAGGUCGGCUAGUAGACAUUGUUUUCCUUGUAUACUUUAAAACUAUAAACUCAAAGCCGAGAACUGGCUUGAUGUACAUAGCAUAUGUACAUCCUUAAUUUUGGAUUCUGCUUGUUUCACCUGAUCUCUCCAGUAAUGUGCCUGCCUCCCUAAUUUAUUAUAAUUCCUCGUAGAUAUAAAACUGGUUACCUUGCAUAUGUUGCUGGUAGAAGUCAACAUUCUAUGGGUCUACCUGGUAUUUUCUGCAUCCAACUUUGUUGUCAGUCUCUGCUCACACAUACGUCCAUUCGCCCACAGCUCCCCAAACUGCAAUCUCAGGCAGCUUCUCCCCAGCACAGGCAAGGAAACUGGAAGUGAAGAAACGACCACUGCCCAGUCUUGAAUGAAGAGAAGCACCAACAACAUCCAGGAGAUUGUUUAACUGGUCAACGAGUAAUUCUCCUGCCCCUACUACGUCAACCCUUUCUUCUUAGGCCUGUAAUGUUUCAAGGUACUUUAAGACCUUCCUUCAUUUGAGCCUCACAGCACCUACAUAAACUUGGCAAAGCGUGAAUUAUCCUUACAUUACAUGAGAAAGCAAAGCAAGGUUAAAACUCUGGCCUCCUGACUUCCUUUCCGGGACCUUUCUCAUUACGAUAUUCCUUAUCCUUAUAAAAGCAUUAAAAAUGCUAUACACAUUUUACAAUAUGUAGAAUUCACAGGGAAAAAUACUGAGUGACCCCAGCAUCCUAGAACCGCCAUUGUUAUUUUGGUGUGUUUUCCUACGCCUAAAAAAUGCAAUCAACUGCAUACUGUGUAUUUGAAACAAAAUUUUAUAGUUUCGCUAGAAGUUUGUUAGUUUGUGUGGCUUUGGAGUAAUUAUAAUAUGGUUAGAAUGAGACUCUUUAUUUUGUAAUGACGCUUACCUCUCCAAGGUGUCUAUUCUGUGUCGAAGCAAUCACUCAGUAGGGCAGAAUCUGGAGAGAAACUAGACAAGGAAAACAGGACCAGGAAGUAAAAUCUUAUGAUUUUAGAGUUGGAAGGGAUCCCAUAUCAUCUUGUUCCAUGUGCACACUAGAAUUAGGAAAAUGAGAUCUCCACAAAUUAAGUGGCUUGCUCCAUAUCAAAAGGGUAGAGAAAGUUAAGCUAGGACCAGAAUCGUUUUUCAUGCCUGCUCACGUGGUCUUCCCACUGUGCGAUUAUUCAUGGAGCAUCCAGGUCCCUAACCGCAUGUGGCACCAUG
Molecule: long non-coding RNA, 3412 nt
Organism: Rhinolophus ferrumequinum (greater horseshoe bat)
Lineage: Eukaryota; Metazoa; Chordata; Mammalia; Chiroptera; Rhinolophidae
Exons: 3
Source: RefSeq, a predicted model, not a curated record